This is a non-coding RNA of Caenorhabditis elegans, 225 nucleotides long. NCBI's taxonomy places the organism in Eukaryota, Metazoa, Nematoda, Chromadorea, Rhabditida, Rhabditidae. The record is from Ensembl.
GUAAACAGAACUCUAAAAAUGUGAUAAAAUUGAAAGCAAAUGUGAAAAGAAAACGAGUGUGUUUUGGUUUUGUUUUGAGAGGAGAAAAGCGAGAAGGAGAAGGGUCACAAUGAGAAUUGGAAACAUUCAUGAGACGUUUUCCAGAGUGUUUUUGUUCGAAUCAAAAACAAGUUUAAUUUUUUUCCUAUUUGGGCAUACGGGAGGUGGAAUCUGUUGGCGGUCAAG